CCUACGGGAGGCUGCAGUGGGGAAUAUUGGGCAAUGGAGGAAACUCUGACCCAGCAACGCCGCGUGAAGGAUGAAGGUUUUCGGAUUGUAAACUUCUGUCGCGGGGGAUGAAGAAUGACGGUACCUCGAAAUAAAGCCCCGGCAAACUACGUGCCAGCAGCCGCGGUAAUACGUAGGGGGCGCGCGUUGUCCGGAAUGACUGGGCGUAAAGGGAGUGUAGGCGGCAUAUUAAGUUAUGUGUGAAAGCCCGAGGCUCAACCGCGGAAUUGCACAUAAAACUGGUAAGCGGGAGUGCAGGAGGGGUAAGCGGAAUGCGCGGUGUAGCGGUGGAAUGCGUAGAUAUCGGGAGGAACACCGGAGGCGAAGGCGACUUACUGGACUGUAACUGACGCUGAGGCUCGAAAGCGUGGGGAGCAAACAGGAUUAGAUACCCUGGUAGUC
RNAcentral lists this ribosomal RNA (441 nucleotides) under uncultured bacterium. RNAcentral's name for it is "partial 16S ribosomal RNA". It matches the Rfam family "Bacterial small subunit ribosomal RNA", at positions 338 to 795 of the family's 1533-position model. The record is from RNAcentral.